This is a long non-coding RNA of Equus quagga, 871 nucleotides long. RefSeq lists it as uncharacterized. The transcript has 4 exons. The record is from RefSeq and is a predicted model, not a curated record. NCBI's taxonomy places the organism in Eukaryota, Metazoa, Chordata, Mammalia, Perissodactyla, Equidae.
ACAGGUGUCGAACAGUAGGAGCAGCGUCAGCGCAGGGUCAUGCGGCACCAUUUGGAGUGUCAACACUAAAGAAAUGCUUUUAGAGGUUAGAUGCAGCCGAGUCGAAGCUUUCGCGUGAAACUGGCAGGGACGUGACGCAUAAACUGAUGAUGCCUAUGAAUGUGUCCAGACCUGGACUACUGCAAUAAAUGACAUAUCCGCAGAGCAUGUAAAAGGCCACUGGAAAUACAGCAGCCCCACUCUCCCGUGACUCGUGAGCCUUAGAUUGUAACUUUUCCAAAUGGAGCUGGAGAGAUAGUAGACUGGGUUUCAAAGGACUUUUCAGGAUGCAAAACCUUCGAAGAGUGGAGAUGAACCCCCUUCUGGCCAGAAUAAAGGGAAGAAGAAUUUAAAGUUAUAAACCAGGUUUACUUUACUCGUAGAUGGUCGGUCAUAUAUUUAAAUGCAACAGUAUUUUUUUAUUUUUAAAAACUGCUCAGGUUACACAUGAAUGCAUUUUGUUUUAAGAAAUCCAGCUGGCGACAGUCUCUUGACUCGGAGCCACAAAUCCUGCUCCUCCCCAGAGGCUGAGCCCCUUCUCAGGUCAGUCUGUCCCUCAGACAGAUAGAUGUGUGCAUGUGGAAACCUGUGGUUCAGAUUUUUUUUUACAUGUUAUACUUUAAUGUCUUCUUUUUCCUCUUAAAAGCAUGUUUUUCCAUAACAGUAGCUCGAGAUCUGUGUUAAUAUAUUAUUCCAUCGAUUGGCUGUGCUACCGUCUAUUUUCUCGUUCUCCUAAUAAUGGGACUGUAACGUUAUUGAAACCUCAUCAUCAAGACAUGGUAUAAACUGACUUCUCUCUCCAUUUGAGUUUUUCAUCAUUUUGAUGGGAAAU